Molecule: transfer RNA, 70 nt
Filed under: Nippotaenia chaenogobii
Lineage: Eukaryota; Metazoa; Platyhelminthes; Cestoda; Nippotaeniidea; Nippotaeniidae
Description: tRNA-Ser
Source: RNAcentral
GUUGGGGCUAUUAGAUGGGAUUAUAAAAUUACUGCUAAUAAUUUUUAGUCAAUUUACUUUGACCCCUUCU